This 229-nucleotide ribosomal RNA is filed under the name uncultured bacterium. RNAcentral describes it as "partial 16S ribosomal RNA". It matches the Rfam family "Bacterial small subunit ribosomal RNA", at positions 568 to 796 of the family's 1533-position model. The record is from RNAcentral.
UGCGUAGGCGGAUUAAUAAGUCAGUGGUGAAAACCUGCAGCUUAACUGUAGACUUGCCAUUGAUACUGUUAGUCUUGAGUACGGUCAAGGUAGGCGGAAUGUGUAAUGUAGCGGUGAAGUGCUUAGAUAUUACACAGAACACCGAUUGCGAAGGCAGCUUACUGGGCCAUUACUGACGCUGAGGCACGAAAGCGUGGGGAGCGAACAGGAUUAGAUACCCUGGUAGUCC